This is a long non-coding RNA of Rosa chinensis, 1118 nucleotides long. RefSeq lists it as uncharacterized. The record is from RefSeq and is a predicted model, not a curated record. Lineage: Eukaryota; Viridiplantae; Streptophyta; Magnoliopsida; Rosales; Rosaceae. The transcript is spliced from 3 exons.
AUUGAAUCCUCAGUUUAGGGGAUUCAAGACCCCGCUUUAGAGAUGUUAGAUUAUCAAAACGGGUUAAAAGUUGUUCAUGUUUUUUCAAUUUUGCUUCCGCUAAAUAAUUGUUGCAGCACUGUAGCAGAGGCCAAGGACAUCUUGUGGUGACCUUAGGUCAGGUUGAGAUGCUUAAUGGGUGGAACUAUAAGAAGUGGAGAAAUUAGGUGGAAUUUUACUUGUCCAUGCAUCAAAACAUGAAUCUUUGCCUAAUUGAGGACCAACCUUCUGAACUAGAUAGUGAAAGUACAAAUGAGGAUAGGAGGCUUUAUAAGGAGUGGUGUAGCAGCAACAGGAAAGCCAAAAAUGUGAUUAGGUGUACUAUGUCUGACACAAUGAAAGGGUCUAUGGUGGAGCCCGAGUUAGCCAUGGACUUUAUGGAGGAAAUUGCAGAAAAAUAUAGAGAGAGUGACAAGGCUGAAGUAGCUAGGUUGUCUAGAAAGUUCAAUGAACUGAGUUUCUCUAGGAAGGGCAGUGUGAGGGAGCACAUUAUGCAGCUAAUUGACAUUAAUUCUAGGCUCAGAGACCUGGACAUGGGAGUUAAGGAUGAGUAGGUAGUGCAUGUGGCACUUCGUUCAUGCACUUCAUUCUCCGCUAAACACUUACAGCAACCUGAGAACUUCAUAUAAUGCCCUAGAGAACAAAUGGAACCUCAACAAGCUAAUCUUUAUCUGUGUGGAUGAGGAGGAAAGAAUUAAGAGAGAAUGAGCAGCAACUACUACAGUUAACCUUGUUGAAAAGCCAAAGUGGAAAAAGCAGAAUAAGCUUAAGCCCAAAAAGACCACCAUCACUAAAGUAGCUGGGAAAUCUGCAAAAGCUAAAGCUGGAAAAGUCUUUAAGUAUAAGUGUUAUUUCUGUAAAAAAAGAUAGGGCACAUGAAGAGGGACUGCAGUGGCUUUAAAGCUUGGAUGAUCAAGAAGGGGUUUAACAAAGAGGAGGGCACCAAGGAAAAGUGAGCAGCAGGUCUGUGUGGGAAAUUGAACAAGGGUAGCAGUUAAGGCUAUUGGAACUCUGAAGAUCGACUUAGGAUUAGGAAAAUUUAUUUUUCUGGAGAAUGUUUAUUAUAUUCCUUCUUUAAA